CCUACGGGUGGCAGCAGUGAGGAAUAUUGGUCAAUGGGCGCGAGCCUGAACCAGCCAAGUCGCGUGAAGGAUGACUGCCCUACGGGUUGUAAACUUCUUUUAUCAAGGAAUAAAGUGAGGCACGUGUGCCUUUUUGUCUGUACUUUAUGAAUAAGGAUCGGCUAACUCCGUGCCAGCAGCCGCGGUAAUACGGAGGAUCCGAGCGUUAUCCGGAUUUAUUGGGUUUAAAGGGAGCGUAGAUGGGUUGUUAAGUCAGUUGUGAAAGUUUGGGGCUCAACCGUAAAAUUGCAAUUGAAACUGGCAGCCUUGAGUACAGUUGAGGUAGGCGGAAUGCGUGGUGUAGCGGUGAAAUGCUUAGAUAUCACGAAGAACUCCGAUUGCGAAGGCAGCUUACUAAACUGCAACUGACAUUGAUGCUCGAAAGUGUGGGUAUCAAACAGGAUUAGAUACCCCUGUAGUC
This 460-nucleotide ribosomal RNA is filed under the name uncultured bacterium. RNAcentral describes it as "partial 16S ribosomal RNA". It matches the Rfam family "Bacterial small subunit ribosomal RNA", at positions 338 to 795 of the family's 1533-position model. The record is from RNAcentral.